UAGUCCAGGAAAAGAGCACUGUGUCCUCCACCCUAACUCUCCUCUCUGAGGGGGGAAUUCACAAUAAUCCGCUCACCCCUUUUAACCCCUUUGUGGGUAGAAUUUUUAAAAAUCCCUUCAUAGUCGGUGCUUACAUCUCAAAAGUGGAGGGGGCACCAACAUCUGUCUUGCCUCCAGGUAUCUGGGAGGAACUUACUCCACUGGUUACAGCAGUCCCAUCUCUACUGUGGCUGUCUUGUCCCUCCUGACUCCUCAGCUGGGCUCAGCAGACUGUGGGGUUACAUGCUGGAUUGUUACUGUCUCAUAAUGCUGCUCUUCAGGAAGCUGUGUCCCGGCGUAUCCUGUCUGGACUGAUCCCUGCGGAUGUCCUUUCCUGGUUCCUGUUGUUUCGCCAGCAUACUUUCAUCGUUCGCAGGCUCCUGCUGCUACAGAUGGCUCAUUUCACCUCCAGUAACCAGUUGGGCUGACUUUAAGUCCUGCCUGAAGUAGAAAAAGGCAUUGGAACGCUUUGAGGGCCACAGGGGGAGGUCCACUCCCUGAGAGUGUGGAAUUUACAGACCUGGAGGAGCUAGCGAUGGUCAGUGUGUCCUAUGUGGAGGUGGCAGUUGUGUCUGAAAUGGACACCGACACACCUGCCAUGGAAUGUCCACAUGCCUUGGAAGCACAGGAGGUGCAGCUCACGGAGGCUGAGGAGGGGGAAAGUAGUGAUACCUCCAGUGUAGGUGAGGAAAGACCACCAUCCCAGGCCCACACUGGUCCCCCCCAAAUCGGUCUCCCAGAGAUUCUCACUGAGUGCAUCAUGGAAACAUGAACAGUACUUUCCAGAAACAGAUGCUCCAGGAGGUCCGGGAGCUGUCCUCCAGGAUCAGUGAGCUGACUUUUACAAUGUACCAAGGCAUGUGCGACAUAACCUCCUCAGUCCAGGACCUCAACACCACUAUUGGGCAAGGCAUACAGACCAUCGCUGCCCUCCUUGGCCACACUCUCAUGGAGGCCACACCAACAGGACCGUCCCCUACCCCUACCCAGGAACAAGAUCCCACUGGGCACGGCCCUUGAAGAUCAAUGCGCAGACCUACAAAAGAACAACAACCCCUUCAGGCGGGGGACUAAAAGGAAAACAAAAAUUAUCUCCAGAUGCGGUCAUAUUUCCCAGCACCCAUGUAGUUUAUGUUCCAAAAUGGUUUUGUAAUGGUUUGUGGGACCAGAAUGUCAAACUCCCUCCUGCUGAAUGGUGUUUGGCGUCUCCUCUUUUAUUUCAGUGCCUGUGAUGCAUUAACCUGUAAAGUUGACCCACCUUCCUAUUAACACUGUGGCUUUGAUAGGUGGGUUUGGGUUAUGUGGGCAGAUUUAACCUCAUUUUGCACCACAUCUUCCUCAGCCAGGGUAAUGAGCCCAGUUUCUUUUUGUGUUUACUGCUCAGUAGAUGGGGGGUCUUCACUACUGGGUAAUGGCAUCCUCUUUUCUGCACAGGCAGGAGUUUGUUGCUGUGCCAUGCUAUGUACUGUUUUUUUCUGAAAACUUUUAUUUUUGAAUGUCUAAGUUUAUUUGUUGUAUUUAUUUAAAAAAUAAACACCCUUACACAAUGCCUCCUAACUUCUGGCAACCGAAAGGAGGGACACCUGUGGUGUGGCCUAUGGAAAAGAGGGUGUGGCUUCACGGGAAGGCCCGCAAUCAUGAGCCACGCCCCAUUUUCAUCACUAUGGGCGCAUGCCCAGCGCUCUGUGAGCUGCUUGCAUGGCCCCUGUCCUCCUGUCUCCACUGAAUAGAUGCUGUCUAUUCACCGCUGCUCUGCUAAGCAGGGCAGCAAGUGCAGGAGCAUCCCAACUGCCCCCACCCCACCGCGGGACACUGCAGCCCGCAGGUUGGACAGCGGGAAAGUCCAAAAUAAACGGGACUGUUCUGUGAAAAUCGGGACAGUUUGGAGGUAUGUUACACUUUGAUAAUAGCUUGCAAUUUUCUUAUUGUGGCCCAUGGUAAUGUAUUUGUUUGUGGCAAAGUAAACAAAUGCUAUUUGGUAUGGUUGUGUGUAUAUGAAAAACAUAGUAGGAGGAACAUUUUGGGUGAUGGGAGUUUACUUGAAGAUGGGAUGUUGCAUAUACAAUAAAUAAAACUUACAUUCAAAAAACUGCCU
This is a long non-coding RNA of Pseudophryne corroboree (corroboree frog), 2134 nucleotides long. RefSeq lists it as uncharacterized. The record is from RefSeq and is a predicted model, not a curated record. The transcript is spliced from 4 exons. NCBI's taxonomy places the organism in Eukaryota, Metazoa, Chordata, Amphibia, Anura, Myobatrachidae.